GCCGGUGGAUGAUUGUGGAUUAAUUCGAUGCAACGCGAAAAACCCUUACCUACCCCUUGACAUGUCUGGAAAGCCGAAGAGAUUUUGUCCCUGCUCGCAAGCAGAACCGGAACACAGGGUGCGGCAUUGCUGUCGUCAGCUCGUGUCGUGAGAUGUUGGGUUAAGUCCCGCAACGAGCGCAACCCUUGUCAUUAGUUGCUACGCAAGAGCACUCUAAUGAGACUGCCGGUGACAAACCGGAGGAAGGUGGGGAUGACGUCAAGUCCUCAUGGCCCUUAUGGGUAGGGCUUCACACGUCAUACAAUGGUCGGGACAGAGGGUCGCCAACCCGCGAGGGGGAGCCAAUCUCAGAAACCCGAUCGUAGUCCGGAUCGCAGUCUGCAACUCGACUGCGUGAAGUCGGAAUCGCUAGUAAUCGCGGAUCAGAAUGUCGCGGUGAAUACGUUCCCGGGUCUUGUACACACCGCCCGUCACACCAUGGGAGUGGGUUUCACCAGAAGUAGGUAGCCUAACCGUAAGGAG
Molecule: ribosomal RNA, 522 nt
Filed under: Alcaligenes faecalis
Lineage: Bacteria; Pseudomonadati; Pseudomonadota; Betaproteobacteria; Burkholderiales; Alcaligenaceae
Description: bacterial SSU rRNA
Rfam family: Bacterial small subunit ribosomal RNA
Source: RNAcentral